Molecule: long non-coding RNA, 1258 nt
Organism: Vigna angularis (adzuki bean)
Lineage: Eukaryota; Viridiplantae; Streptophyta; Magnoliopsida; Fabales; Fabaceae
Exons: 2
Source: RefSeq, a predicted model, not a curated record
ACUAUUUUCUGUAUUUAUUGUUUACUGUAUUUUCGUUUUCUGUAAUUUAGUUUUCUGUUCCAGAUUUAAUUUUAAUGUUUUAUUUUACUGUAAAUUCGUUUUUACUGUAGCAGUUUAAUUUUUACUGUUUUAAUUUAGUUUUACCGUUUUAGUUUAAUUUUUACCGUAAUUUAAUUUUUUGUUCAAACAAAUUGUAAACACCCCCUACUUCAUGUUAAAUCUGAGACUGAACCCACAAUAUUGGUCCUUGAGAGACGACCUAGGAGUCACUUCCUGGUAUCUAUACUGCAUUAUUUUUUCUGUAUCAAAUUUGUAUGACCGCGACAGUCGUAUCAAAUUUUGGCGCCGCUGCCGGGGAGUUUUCAGAUGAAUUGGCUAAUAUUGGCUUAGAGAUGCAUCUCACAGUUGAAAUGAAUUGGAAACCAAGCACAUAAGCACACAAAGUUUUAUGUGAAUAUUGUUGCACAAACAAUGUACAUGGAUGAUGGAAUGAAGCAUGGGUGCUGCCACAAAUUUUCUGAAUUUGUCACACUCUUCCAAUUCAUACAUGAAGCACAUAGAGAAUUAUUUUGGAACAUCUUUGGUGUGUCACAUGAAGCAUCCAACCAAGGAGAGCAUGGGACAAGUGGACCCAAAGCAAAGAAAGCAAAAGACCCAUGAAAGAGCACACAUUCACGUGGAAAUGGGCAGCCAACAAUGAAUGGAGUCUUGCUUCCUUUAUUUUAUUAGCACAUGCUCAUGGAAAUGUGAAGUGGAGCACCAAAGGAAUCAUAACUCUCAGCAGCCAUCACACCCAUGGAAGCCAAUGGAUUUAACACAAGCAAGAGACUUCACUUUCCAGCAGCAAAAACUUCACUUUCCAGCUGCAACAAUUCUUGGUUCAGCAGAAAAGGGGAGCUAGUGGAAGUACUCCAUUACUUUGAGGGCUCCAUCCACUAAGGAAUUCAUCAUCAUUUUGAGUGGAGAUGAAAGAAACCAAUUUUUUUUUUCUGAGUUGGGGAGAGAGAGCCGUGAAAAACCAAGGCAAACAAGAAGAGUUUGGAGUUGGAUGAGAAAAAAAACGAUGAUUGCUAGAAAGAAUGAAGGAUGAUGUAGCUUGAAGUUCUUGGUGCCUUCACCUUUGGUUUUGUACACUUUUCCAUUUAAGCUUUCAUUCAUCUACUGUUUUCAUCUUGGUAUUAAUUUGUAUUUUGAGUUUGUAAGUUGUUGUUGUAAUUUUAUAAGCAUUGUAAUUUCAAUUUGGAAGUGUUUCAUUCUA